GAAAUGCGAUAAGUAAUGUGAAUUGCAGAAUUCAGUGAAUCAUCGAAUCUUUGAACGCACAUUGCGCCCGCCAGAAUUCUGGCGGGCAUGCCUGUUCGAGCGUCAUUUCAACCCUCGAGCUCCCCUUGCGGGGGGAGCCCGGCGUUGGGGACGCGGCGCCAACAGCGCCGGCCCCGAAAUGGAGUGGCGGCCCGUCCGCGGCGACCUCUGCGUAGUAACAUCCACUCGCACCGGGACCCGGGCGCGGCCACGCCAUAAAACACCCCACCUUCCGAAUGUUGACCUCGAAUCAGGUAGGAAUACCCGCUGAACUUAAGC
Molecule: unclassified non-coding RNA, 318 nt
Filed under: plant metagenome
Description: partial contains 5.8S ribosomal RNA, internal transcribed spacer 2, and large subunit ribosomal RNA
Rfam family: 5.8S ribosomal RNA (bases 1-105)
Source: RNAcentral